GUGAAGUCCGUCUCUCCCGUGAUUGCCAUUGUUUCAAGAAUCAUGUUUCGCCGGUGUUUUGCUGGAUGCAUCAAUCUGCCUUGCAUACGAAAGAAAGGCCCAGUUGAUGAGGAGGAGGAGGAGGAUUUUCCCGUGAAAGAUGAACUUCAUAAACUCACAUCCCAGGACCUAAGUCGAUUUACAGCCCAAUUUUCUCCGGAAAAUCUUGUUGGAGUCACCAACUUAGGAAAGCUCUAUCGUGGGAAGAUGGUCAUUGAUGAUAUUAGCAAGGAUGUCGCUGUCAAGAUUAUAGGUAUUGAUAAAUGGAUAUUUCGAUAUACAGGCGACGACAGACUGGAAAGAUUCGAGUAUGAAUUGAAAUUUUUGCAAGCUCCAAGGAUUAAGGGCAAUCCCAAUUUAGUGAAAGUGAUUGGAUAUUGUGAAGAGGAAGAGACCUUGGGUAUUGUUUAUGAUCUAAAUCCACAUGAUAUUUUGGAGAACUUAAUUACUCGAGCUGACUUCAAUUGGAUGCUGAGAGUUAGGACAGCCCUUACAUUAGCUCGCUUGCUUAAUUAUCUGCAUGAUAGGAAAUACCUCAUUCGCAACUUUGCUCCAUAUCACAUUGUGCUUGACCAGGAUUUCACGCCAAUUAUGUUUGAGUUGGGUUUGAUUGUUGGAGGAGUUCUCGGUAAUACAAUCAAUGAAUCAGAUAUGAGAUGUGCUCCAUAUGGCUACAUCGAUUCAUACAUAUUUCAAUGUGGUACUGAUACAUUCAGUGUCAAGUCUGAUGUUUUUGCGUUUGGUGUUUUGCUCUUAAACUUUAUAAGCAAAAAAGUUGUUGAGAAAGGAAACCCCGUAGAUAAUGAGGUACUUGAUUUAUGGGCCUUGAAGGAGUUCAAGCCCGGAUGUUCACUUGUCCACCAAAGUUUUGUGGGUGAUCCAGGUUUUGGUCAUCUUGAUGCAGUUGCAAUAACAGAACUUGCUAAACGUUGUGUAGAAGAUCGACCAAAGAAACGACCAAAUAUGAAAGAAGUUGUUGCUUGUCUAGAGAAUUUACAUGUUGUGUAGGACCAUGGUGAAGAAAUUAAUGUGCAUACUUGAUAGUUGGGUUUUAUUUCCGUUGAGUUUAGUGGAUUUUGUUGUCACAGUUUGUGGAAAAACAUACGUGAGUAUAGGAAGAAAAGAUUAUUUUAGUAUAUAUUUAAAUAUAAAAAUUACUUAUCAUUUAAUCAA
Molecule: unclassified non-coding RNA, 1212 nt
Filed under: Hevea brasiliensis (rubber tree)
Lineage: Eukaryota; Viridiplantae; Streptophyta; Magnoliopsida; Malpighiales; Euphorbiaceae
Source: RNAcentral